CCAAGAUCCAUUUAUUCUCCCUCUACUCUGUUUCUAUCUUUGCUUAGUUUUAAGGGAAUUUUUUUUUUUUUUUUGCAUAAAAGUAAUACCGGGGACUUCCCUGGUGGUCCGGUAGCUAAGACUCUGUGCUCCCAGUGCGGGGGCCCUGGGUUCCAUCUCUGGUCAGGGAACUAGAUCCCGCAUGCUGCCACUAAAGACACCACAUGCUGCAGCUGAAAGAUCCCAAGUGCCACAACUAAGACCCGGUAUAGCCAAAUAAAAAAUUUUUAAAGUAGAUCAUGGAAGAAGUCAAGUGGUACAGAUUUGUAUAAAGCAAAAAACACAUUCCUCUAGUCCCCAAAACCCACUCUCUGGUGGUGAGCACAAUGCGUGUUUGCAGCGUGGCUGUCCUGACUUUUCCUGGGGACACUGACUUAUGACCUUUUCAUUCCCACUAACACUGCCAUUGAGACCUCUUUUCUUCUACGUGAAGUUAAGAAUCCCUAUGUAAAGGUUAAUCCCCAAUGCAAACAGUUUUGUUUAUUGGCUGCGCUGGGUCUUCGUUGCUUUGUGCAGGCUUUCUUUAAUUGCCAUCAGUGAGGGCUGCUCUUCUUGCAGUGUGCAGUGUUUCUCAUUGUGAUGGCUUCUCUUGUCGCAGAGCGCAGGCUCUAGAGCGCACUGGCUUCAGUCAUUGCGGCUUGCAAGCUUUAGGGCACAGGCUCAGUAGCUGCGGUGCGCAGGCUUAUUUGCUCCACUAUAUAUGGAAUAUUCCCAGACUAGGGAUCAAACCUGUGUCCCCUGCAUUGGCGGGCAGAUUCUUAUCUACUGCACUACCCGGGAAGUCUGAAAACAAUUUUUUCCCCCAACUUAUUUCGCUUCGCUGGGUCUUGGUUGCUCAGUUGUGGCAUGUAGAAUCUAGUUCCCUGACCAGGGAUGGAGCUGGGGUCCCUGUGUUGGGAGCUCGGAGUCUUAGCUACUGGGAGCUUGGAGUCUUAGCUACUCGGAGUCUUAGCUACUGGAACUUACCAGAGAAGUUCCAUGAAAAUAUUUUCAGAGUGUUAGCAAUUUUUUGUGUGUGUGUGAUAGCAAUUUUUUAAAAGCAAUCUUAAAUUUGUUCUGAUUUUAUUUGAGUGAUAAAAAUCUGGAGAAAGAAAGGUCAGGUGGGAAUGGUAUAGAAUGAGGAGAGCUGGCUGGAAUCUUGAUGCCCUUCUGGAGGUCCUUCAUGGUCUGGAUGGACAGGGGGCUACUGCAGUCGAGGCCUUAUCUGAGAGGCACCAAACUCACAUUCCAGGGAGGCCAGGAAGGGAACUUAUCUGAGUUCAGUGGGCUGUGCGGAGUCUGUGAGGAACCUGAGAGCAAAUGCCUCUUCUAUGGCCAUCGUUCAGCUGCCCUCCAGCCUUUUGUGUCCUUGUGGUCACGUAGGUCCAGGGGUGCUAAAAAUUCCAAUUUUUUGAGAAAGGCUGUAUAUUCAGAUUUUUAUGUAAAAUACCCUGAUUUGAAAAUAUUCUGUGGUUGAAAUAAAACACACCUAUAAACCAUUUUUUUUUGUUUUAAUCAUUGUGUUUGCCUUUUUUUAAUUUGGCUGCACCAGUUCUCAGUUGCAGUAGGCAGGAUAUUCGAUCUUUGCAGCAGGUGGUAUCUAG
This is a long non-coding RNA of Bos taurus (domestic cattle), 1622 nucleotides long. NCBI's taxonomy places the organism in Eukaryota, Metazoa, Chordata, Mammalia, Artiodactyla, Bovidae. The record is from Ensembl.